This is a long non-coding RNA of Xenia sp. Carnegie-2017, 498 nucleotides long. RefSeq lists it as uncharacterized. Lineage: Eukaryota; Metazoa; Cnidaria; Anthozoa; Malacalcyonacea; Xeniidae. The record is from RefSeq and is a predicted model, not a curated record. The transcript is spliced from 5 exons.
UAUGAAUGAAUUGUAAAUGUUCGGGCAAAGACGCGAGAGACAUUUCAGUCAUUGAUGUUCAAAAGCAAGCCAUCAUUUUGUUAGAGAUUUCUCAGCAGAAACUUACAUCCAAAAUAGUGCAAAGAAAGAUUGAUUCCUUCUGUGUUCUAACUCAAUCACUAAACUUGUAAGAUACAGGGCCAGGACUCAAGUGAUUUUGAAUUUGUUAACGAUGCCUGGAAUCAAGAUCCGUGAUGAAGAUCGAGAAAAAAUCCCUGCGAAGUAUAUAUGUACUUACUGUCAUCACGUUUUUAUCAAUCCAAUGCAGACCUCGUGUGGACAUUUGUUUUGUAAAUCUUGUAUGGACAUUCUUGGAAAUCCUGAUUUUAAAUGUCCUGAAGAUAAAGAAAAUUUGACCAAGGAAAAUGUUUUCCCGGAUGCUUUUACGAAGCGUGAGUUAAAAAGGAUUUAAUUACACUGUCCAUCUGAAGAGUGUAAAUGGUUUGGUACACACGAAGA